RNAcentral lists this ribosomal RNA (468 nucleotides) under uncultured bacterium. RNAcentral describes it as "partial 16S ribosomal RNA". It matches the Rfam family "Bacterial small subunit ribosomal RNA", at positions 28 to 507 of the family's 1533-position model. The record is from RNAcentral.
GACGAACGCUGGCGGCGUGCUUAACACAUGCAAGUCGAACGGAAAGGCCCUGCGUUUGUGGCGUUCUCGUGUGGCGAACGGGGGAGUAACACGUGAGUAACCUGCCCUUGACUUUGGGAUAACUCCAGGAAACUGGGGCUAAUAUCGGAUAGGAGCUCCUGCUGCAUGGUGGGGGUUGGAAAGAUUCGGCGGUUGGGGAUGGACUCGCGGCUUAUCAGCUUGUUUGUGGGGUAGUGGCGUACCAAGGCUUUGACGGGUAGCCGGCCUGAGAGGGGGACCGGCCACAUGGGGCCUGAGAUACGGAGCAGACUCCUACGGGAGGCAGUAGUGGGGAAUAUUGCGCAAUGAGGGGAAGCCUGAUGCAGAAACGCCGCGUGCGGGAUAAAGGGCUUCGGGUUGUAAACCGCUUUCGCAUGUGACGAAGCGUGAGUGACGGUAAUGGGUAAAGAAGCACCGGCUAACUACGUG